UGGGGAAUAUUGGACAAUGGGCGCAAGCCUGAUCCAGCAAUGCCGCGUGUGUGAAGAAGGUUUUCGGAUUGUAAAGCACUUUCGGCGGGGACGAUGAUGACGGUACCCGCAGAAGAAGCCCCGGCUAACUUCGUGCCAGCAGCCGCGGUAAUACGAAGGGGGCUAGCGUUGCUCGGAAUGACUGGGCGUAAAGGGCGCGUAGGCGGUUGACACAGUCAGGCGUGAAAUUCCUGGGCUUAACCUGGGGGCUGCGCUUGAUACAUGUUGACUUGAGUGUGGAAGAGGGUCGUGGAAUUCCCAGUGUAGAGGUGAAAUUCGUAGAUAUUGGGAAGAACACCGGUGGCGAAGGCGGCGACCUGGUCCAUUACUGACGCUGAGGCGCGAAAGCGUGGGGAGCAAACAGG
This 404-nucleotide ribosomal RNA is filed under the name uncultured bacterium. Its description in RNAcentral is "bacterial SSU rRNA". It matches the Rfam family "Bacterial small subunit ribosomal RNA", at positions 355 to 776 of the family's 1533-position model. The record is from RNAcentral.